Long non-coding RNA from Panicum virgatum (switchgrass), 432 nucleotides. RefSeq lists it as uncharacterized. Lineage: Eukaryota; Viridiplantae; Streptophyta; Magnoliopsida; Poales; Poaceae. The transcript has 3 exons. The record is from RefSeq and is a predicted model, not a curated record.
GCAAAAGCUUGCCAUGCUGUAGGUAUUCCAGGACGGAAAGUCGAUGACCCUUACUUCAGGGCUGCCAUCGUGGAGACGCAAAAUCAAGGUGUUGGCAUCAAAAUACCAUUAGGAAGGGAUAUUGAUGGCAAGUAUUUAGAUGAGAAUGUGAAGGAGAUACAUAACGAGAUAGAGAAGUGGAAGGCCGAGUGGGAACAUUGUGGCGUCACCCUCAUGUGUGAUUCCUGGACUGGGCCUAUGAGGAACUGGUUAUCAAUUUUUUGGUCUAUAGCGGGGGCACCAUGUAUUUCUUGAAGUCGAUUGAUGCGUCGGGUGAAAUACAAGACCACCAAUUCUUAUUACAGGCGAUCAAAGCACAGGUCUUGAAAGUGGGCAGUGAGAAUGUUGUUCAGAUAGUGACUGACAAUGGAUCGAACUAUAAAAAGGCAUGCA